UGGGGAAUAUUGCGCAAUGGGCGAAAGCCUGACGCAGCGACGCCGCGUGAGGGAUGAAGGUUUUCGGAUCGUAAACCUCUUUCAGAAGGGAAGAAACCGCACUGUGCUAAUCAGCAGUGCCUUGACGGUACCUUCAAAGGAAGCACCGGCUAACUCCGUGCCAGCAGCCGCGGUAAUACGGAGGGUGCAAGCGUUAAUCGGAAUUACUGGGCGUAAAGCGCACGUAGGCUCCUUUGUAAGUCAGGGGUGAAAUCCCACGGCUCAACCGUGGAACUGCCUUUGAUACUGCUUAGCUUGAAUCCGGGAGAGGGUGGCGGAAUUCCAGGUGUAGGAGUGAAAUCCGUAGAUAUAUGAAGGAACAUCAGUGGCGAAGGCGGCCACCUGGACCGGUAUUGACGCUGAGGUGCGAAAGCGUGGGGAGCAAACAGG
Molecule: ribosomal RNA, 429 nt
Filed under: Fusobacteriota bacterium
Lineage: Bacteria; Fusobacteriati; Fusobacteriota
Description: Fusobacteria bacterium partial 16S ribosomal RNA
Rfam family: Bacterial small subunit ribosomal RNA
Source: RNAcentral